This 253-nucleotide ribosomal RNA is filed under the name uncultured bacterium. RNAcentral's name for it is "partial 16S ribosomal RNA". It matches the Rfam family "Bacterial small subunit ribosomal RNA", at positions 15 to 263 of the family's 1533-position model. The record is from RNAcentral.
GAUCAUGGCUCAGGAUGAACGCUAGCGACAGGCUUAACACAUGCAAGUCGAGGGGCAGCGGGGAGUAGCAAUACUUCGCCGGCGACCGGCGCACGGGUGAGUAACACGUGUGCAACCAACCCCGUACCGGGAGAUAACCCGCGGAAACGUGGACUAACAUCCCAUGAUACUCGAGAGCCGCAUGGCUCUCGAUUUAAAAUUCCGGUGGUACGGGACGGGCACGCGCGACAUUAGGUAGUUGGCGGGGUAAUGG